UACAGAGGUCCCGAGCGUUGUUCGGAUUCACUGGGCGUAAAGGGUGCGUAGGUGGUGAGGUAAGUCGGAUGUGAAAUCUCCGAGCUCAACUCGGAAAUGGCAUUGGAAACUACCUUGCUCGAGGGUUGGAGGGGGGACUGGAAUGCUUGGUGUAGCAGUGAAAUGCGUAGAUAUCAAGCGGAACACCAGUGGCGAAGGCGAGUCCCUGGACAACUCCUGACACUGAGGCACGAAAGCCAGGGGAGCAAACAGG
This 253-nucleotide ribosomal RNA is filed under the name uncultured bacterium. RNAcentral describes it as "partial 16S ribosomal RNA". It matches the Rfam family "Bacterial small subunit ribosomal RNA", at positions 524 to 776 of the family's 1533-position model. The record is from RNAcentral.